Molecule: ribosomal RNA, 442 nt
Filed under: uncultured Prevotella sp.
Lineage: Bacteria; Pseudomonadati; Bacteroidota; Bacteroidia; Bacteroidales; Prevotellaceae
Description: bacterial SSU rRNA
Rfam family: Bacterial small subunit ribosomal RNA
Source: RNAcentral
UGAGGGAAUAUUGGGUCAAUGGACGGGAGUCUGAACCAGCCAAGUAGCGUACAGGAUGACGGCCCUAUGGGUUGUAAACUGCUUUUGUGCGGGGAUAAAGUGUGGGACGCGUCCCAUAUUGCAGGUACCGCAUGAAUAAGGACCGGCUAAUUCCGUGCCAGCAGCCGCGGUAAUACGGAAGGUCCGGGCGUUAUCCGGAUUUAUUGGGUUUAAAGGGAGCGUAGGCCGGAGAUUAAGCGUGUUGUGAAAUGCCGCGGCUCAACCGUGGCACUGCAGCGCGAACUGGUUUUCUUGAGUGCGCGCGACGCAGGCGGAAUUCGUGGUGUAGCGGUGAAAUGCUUAGAUAUGACGAAGAACUCCGAUUGCGAAGGCAGCCUGCUGUAGCGCAACUGACGCUGAAGCUCGAAAGCGUGGGGUAUCGAACAGGAUUAGAUACCCUGGU